CAGGAACCUGAAACUACCUGAA
Molecule: microRNA, 22 nt
Filed under: Salmo salar (Atlantic salmon)
Lineage: Eukaryota; Metazoa; Chordata; Actinopteri; Salmoniformes; Salmonidae
Description: ssa-miR-196b-3p
Gene: ssa-miR-196b-3p
Source: miRBase by way of RNAcentral